UACGAAGGACCCAAGCGUUGUUCGGAUUCACUGGGCGUAAAGGGUGCGUAGGUGGCUGGGUAAGUUUGAUGUGAAAUCUCCGAGCUCAACUCGGAAAUGGCAUUGAAUACUAUCCUGCUUGAGGGUCGGAGGGGAGACUGGAAUUCUCGGUGUAGCAGUGAAAUGCAUAGAUAUCGAGAGGAACACCAGUGGCGAAGGCGAGUCUCUGGACGACUCCUGACACUGAGGCACGAAAGCUAGGGGAGCAAACAGG
This 253-nucleotide ribosomal RNA is filed under the name uncultured bacterium. RNAcentral's name for it is "partial 16S ribosomal RNA". It matches the Rfam family "Bacterial small subunit ribosomal RNA", at positions 524 to 776 of the family's 1533-position model. The record is from RNAcentral.